Molecule: long non-coding RNA, 360 nt
Organism: Acanthochromis polyacanthus (spiny chromis)
Lineage: Eukaryota; Metazoa; Chordata; Actinopteri; Pomacentridae
Exons: 3
Source: RefSeq, a predicted model, not a curated record
AAGCUGGACCUGUGAGUGGCAGCAAAAAGGAAAGUGACCAGCAACAUAGAGACUAACUUUCAGCAAGAAUAGUCCAGUUUCUUUUCCAUCGAUUUCAGAAAAUUUUCUUGUUUUUGACCUCAAAGUCCUUAGGUCUCUGUUGAGCUGUCGUCCUGUGUCACACAGCAUGAACAUCAUUUUCAGUCAUCAAGUGGAAUCUCAGAUGGAGGACAGUAGUCCAGUUCAGAGAAGAGGGAGCAGAGCCUAUCAGAUCUUUCCUGAAGCCAACAUGAAUGAAGAAUCCGACUACCCUGAAGACUUUCUCUAUAGAAGGGAGCGUCUACCUUCUAUUGUUGUGGAGCCCACAGAGCACAGUGAGCA